Microcebus murinus (gray mouse lemur) is the source of this 1876-nucleotide non-coding RNA. Lineage: Eukaryota; Metazoa; Chordata; Mammalia; Primates; Cheirogaleidae. The record is from RefSeq and is a predicted model, not a curated record.
UGCACAGUGGAUAUUGCUUGCUUUGAUUUCAGUCCCUUAUGAUGCAUAGACAGUGCGUCAGAGACCAGGUAUCAGAGUUUGAACCAUUCAGAGGUCUGUUGAGUGAUCCAGGAGUCUUUAAAGACUCCACUCGUGCCUCUAGGGAGCUCAGAGAUCACAGUAUCCAGGAUAAAUGUUCCCCUUUCAUGGCAGAGGGGGACGUGGUUCCAAGGCCCCUGGGAUGGUGCCUGCAGAGCGCCCUACUCUGCAGACACUCCCUGGGGCUCUGUCCGCUUCUCCCUCUAGUGAUCCAUCGAGAGGCCACCAUUCCUGGACAGAUCUCGCAAAAAUAUUUUAAGAGUGGAACUUAGCAGUUUGGGAAAUAUUUGACCAGAGCAACUAAGACUGAGGGGUUGGGACUGUCAUGGAAGGGCCUUGAAUGCCAGGCCAAAGGUGCUCACUGAGAGGCUGGAGGGGAGGAAGCCAGAGAAGGGUCUUGGUGUCUCUCUGGGCAGAGGGUGAGGAGGCUUAGACGUCUGCCCGGCUUCUGCUCACUCUUCCAUCCCAGCUCCUCGGCCACUAGAGAAGCUGGCCUGACUGGAUUAUCGCGGACCUGCGCUCCCGCGUGGACGGUGAGGGUAAGGGCGGACGGGACAGUAUUUCCACCUUGGUCUCCCACUCCCUUCCUUGCGGCCUGCGCGGGGUCCCUGCUGGCUAGGCCCUGGGUCCUUGCUGUAGGCGCUCAGGGACCAGCACUCCGUGCCAGGGUCUCCAGGGUCCAAGCUCCAGCAGCUCAGGCCCACCGCCCGCAGGACCACGUCCGGAAGUCCCACCCCCGCUGCUGUUAGCCAAUCAACUGUCGGGGGCAGAGCAAGGGGCGGUCCAAGAAGAACUGACCAAUCGUGGCUGACGGUCGUGUCUGGCGCGGCCCUUCCUCUUCUACGCCUCAGGCGGCACGGUUGCCCGGGCAACUGUUCCGGGCCCCUGGCUUUGAAACUUUCCCUUUUCCCUUGUUCCGGGAGUUCUUUGCUGAAGGAACCAAAGACCAGGAGGCUGGACUCCAGGCUUCGAUGCCGUCCUCCGAGCCUUCAGAGGCGGCUCCCCCGCGCCACUGCCUUCCCGGGCCUGCCAUCGAGAUGCCGAGCCUCCUGCAGUCCUAGAGAGCGUGGGGAGGGAGGGCCAGGGCCACUUCCGGCCUCGAGCGGCCACUGUGGCGACGGGGAAGUCCUGGCCCCUGCCCCAGAGCUCGGCGGGACCCGGGCACCUCCCGCCGGCGCUGUAGCACUUUCUGAGUUCCGGAGCAGUGGCUGGCGAUGCUGCCAGGGGAGAGCCAGGCUUGGCUGCGGCCACAGCCGUCGGAGAGCAGCCAGGAAAGAGACGGAGGUCCUCUUCACUGGCAGCUGGAGAAACUGAGGCGGGCCGUGCAAAGAGGGGCGUGGCUCUGGGUGAUGCGUGAGGGGCCAGAGGGCCAGGAAACGUUAACAGUAGGGGCUUGGCUGCGUUCACCCAUUCAUUUUCCAAGUAACAAAGCUCCAGGCUGGCCAUGAAGAUGAAUACAAACCUCACCAGUAGAGCAACAACAGCUUUUCAAGGAUUCAGAUGAUCCUCUCAUUAAUGCUUUUCUCAAAGACUUAAGGAAAGAACUGCCUUCUGAUAAAAGAUAGUUGGAGGUGGGGUGGGUAUACAUCUGACAUACAAUACACACCCUCAGUAUUUCUAUCUCCCUAAGUUUGUGGGUUUCUUCUUUCCCGUCAUGCCAAUUGCACUUCUGGCAUCUCAACCUCAUUAACUGAAGGCUGCCACUGAGUCCAAAUUUCAGCAAAGAAAUGGACUAAACUGUUAAAGCCACCUGUAGCUGUACAAGUUAACAUUAAAUUUGAAGUUUCUAGUAAGCACC